RNAcentral lists this ribosomal RNA (869 nucleotides) under Pratylenchus penetrans. RNAcentral describes it as "SSU rRNA". It matches the Rfam family "Eukaryotic small subunit ribosomal RNA", at positions 42 to 912 of the family's 1831-position model. Lineage: Eukaryota; Metazoa; Nematoda; Chromadorea; Rhabditida; Pratylenchidae. The record is from RNAcentral.
GAUUAAGCCAUGCAUGUAUAAGUAUAAACGCUUUAAGCGUGAAACCGCGAACGGCUCAUUACAACAGCUAUAAUUUACUUGAUCUUGACAAACUUACAUGGAUAACUGAGGUAAUUCUUGAGCUAAUACAUGCACCAAAGCUUUGACCGUAAGGGAAGAGCGCAUUUAUUAGAACAAAACCAAACGGCUUCGGCUGUUCCCAGUUGAAUCAGAAUAACUCAGCUGAUCGUACGGUCUUGCACCGACGACGUGUCUUUCAAGUAUCUGCUUUAUCAACUUUCGAUGGUAGGGUAUCUGCCUACCAUGGUGGUGACGGAUAACGGAGGAUCAGGGUUCGACUCCGGAGAAGGGGCCUGAGAAAUGGCCACUACGUCUAAGGAUGGCAGCAGGCGCGCAAAUUACCCACUCUCAGAAUUUGGAGGAGGUAGUGACGAGAAAUAACGAGGUUGAUCUCUUCUGAGGCCAACCAUCGGAAUGGGUACAAUUUAAACCCUUUAACGAGUAUCUAUGAGAGGGCAAGUCUGGUGCCAGCAGCCGCGGUAAUUCCAGCUCUCAAAAUGCAUAGAAUUAUUGCUGCGGUUAAAAAGCUCGUAGUUGGAUCUGCAGCCGGAGCUCCGGUCCAUCUUCGGAUAUGUACUGGAUGUCUCCGGCUUUCUGACAGUGUUCGGCUCUGUGCCUCUAACCAGGUGUGGAUGUCCGAUACUGUAAGUUUACUUUGAAUAAAUCAGAGUGCUCUAAACAGGCGUUUUGCUUGAAUGAUUGUGCAUGGAAUAAUAGAAGAGGAUUUCGGUUCUAUUUUAUUGGUUUUAUAGACUGAGAUAAUGGUUAACAGAGACAAACGGGGGCAUUUGUAUGGCUACGUGAGAGGU